RNAcentral lists this long non-coding RNA (262 nucleotides) under Solanum tuberosum (potato). Its description in RNAcentral is "long non-coding RNA (STUB_LNC001085)". Lineage: Eukaryota; Viridiplantae; Streptophyta; Magnoliopsida; Solanales; Solanaceae. The record is from RNAcentral.
AAAGGAGAAAUUGAAUUUGGGCCUUUCUUGGGCCUAUUUUGCUGAAAUUUUUUGGGGUUAAUACUAAUCCCGAUUUUCUAUACAUCUCGUGUAUAUUAGUGUAUAUUAGCAUGUAUAUCUGCCCUUUUCAUGUAUUUCUUGCUUCCAAACAAAUGUAUUUCCUCUCAGCCCUGUAUUUUCACACUUUUCGACCUGUAAUUUGUUGUAUAAUGAAUGUACUGUUGUAUACAAUAUGUAUACAGCCCAUUUCUUAGGCUUUNNN